AAGAAAAAAAACAAAAUUAAAUUUGAUUGCAGUCUAAAACCGGCGCCGGUGUGUAAACAGUCGGAGCUGUGGCUAUCCAUGCCGAAAUUGGCUCAUCCGGAGCAGAGUUCUCUGGAUAGUCUCUGGUGAAGUGAAGUGUAUGGAGUUUCUAGUGGAUGGGAACCUGGCCACGCUAAAAUACAAGCAGAUACAUUUAUCUUUUAUGUUACAUCCUUUCAACUGUGAACCACACUUAAGUCUUAUUAGCAGAGGCUUCAUUAGCUUGAAAGUUGAAAACCAAAUCAUAAUCAUGGUUUCCUUAAUUGAACCACCCAGGAAUUGGUAACUCAGUGCUCAUUUUUUUUCUGUUGUGGCAGGAUGUCACAAAUGUUCCCGUGCUACACUUGUAUAAUCAUUUUGGAGGCAAGAAAACAAAACUGCCUGAGAUGGUAGGCUCCUCUUAGAUCGAUUUAAUCCGACAUGAGCAGCUUCAACUUCCUGUAAACCAGAAAGCUCGUAACUUUGCAGAUGUUGAAACCAAGUCGGUCUUUUCUUAUUUGAGCAGUCACAUCAGCGUGAAAUUACUGUGCUUAUUCACUUUAAGUUCAAUUGUGCUGCUUUACAGUAUGUCGUGUCCAAUCUUUUGCACCGGUGGUUAAAAUUUUUUGCUGACUGCCUGCUUGAAGGCAACCUCACAGAGGGAGCCAGCAACCACGAUAAAAAUAAUCGGUAUAACUAAGGCCAGUGACAAAUCAAGGCCAUUGUUAUCAAAGUUUGUUGAUAUUUCAAAGCAAUCUUGUUAUGUAUCUAUCCCUCUUGUGAGUUUUGUGAUAUAUAAAGACGUGACAAAGGAAAUGUGAAAGUAGGGUUGCUUUA
Molecule: long non-coding RNA, 855 nt
Organism: Brassica napus (rape)
Lineage: Eukaryota; Viridiplantae; Streptophyta; Magnoliopsida; Brassicales; Brassicaceae
Exons: 3
Source: RefSeq, a predicted model, not a curated record